This 70-nucleotide ribosomal RNA is filed under the name Gossypium arboreum. Lineage: Eukaryota; Viridiplantae; Streptophyta; Magnoliopsida; Malvales; Malvaceae. The record is from RNAcentral.
AGUUAAGCGUGCUUGGGCUAGAGUAGUACUAGGAUGGGUGACCUCCUGAGAAGUCCUCGUAUUGCACCCC